This 301-nucleotide ribosomal RNA is filed under the name uncultured bacterium. RNAcentral's name for it is "partial 16S ribosomal RNA". It matches the Rfam family "Bacterial small subunit ribosomal RNA", at positions 509 to 807 of the family's 1533-position model. The record is from RNAcentral.
CAGCAGCCGCGGUAAUACGUAGGUGGCAAGCGUUGUCCGGAAUUAUUGGGCGUAAAGGGCUCGCAGGCGGUUUCUUAAGUCUGUUGUGAAAUCCCCGGGCUCAACCUGGGAAUGGCAGUGGAUACUGGCUCGCUAGAGUGUGUCAGAGGAUGGUGGAAUUCCCGGUGUAGCGGUGAAAUGCGUAGAGAUCGGGAGGAACAUCAGUGGCGAAGGCGGCCAUCUGGGACAACACUGACGCUGAGGCACGAAAGCGUGGGGAGCAAACAGGAUUAGAUACCCCUGUAGUCCCUGUCUCUUAUAC